Molecule: transfer RNA, 60 nt
Filed under: Dugesia japonica
Lineage: Eukaryota; Metazoa; Platyhelminthes; Tricladida; Dugesiidae
Description: tRNA-Met
Source: RNAcentral
GUUUCGAUAGGUUAAGUUAGACUUUUAGAUUCAUACUCUUUAGGUGGUUUUCUCGAUACU